Molecule: ribosomal RNA, 568 nt
Filed under: uncultured bacterium
Lineage: Bacteria
Description: partial 16S ribosomal RNA
Rfam family: Bacterial small subunit ribosomal RNA
Source: RNAcentral
UAGGGAAUCUUCCACAAUGGACGCAAGUCUGAUGGAGCAACGCCGCGUGAGUGAAGAAGGUUUUCGGACCGUAAAGCUCUGUUGUUGGUGAAGAAGGGUAGAGGUAGUAACUGGCCUUUAUUUGACGGUAAUCAACCAGAAAGUCACGGCUAACUACGUGCCAGCAGCCGCGGUAAUCGUAGGUGGCAAGCGUUGUCCGGAUUUAUUGGGCGUAAAGCGAGCGCAGGCGGAAGAAUAAGUCUGAUGUGAAAGCCCUCGGCUUAACCGAGGAAUUGCAUCGGAAACUGUUUUCUUGAGUGCAGAAGAGGAGAGUAGAACUCCAUGUGUAGCGGUGGAAUGCGUAGAUAUAUGGAAGAAUACCAGUGGCGAAGGCGGCUCUCUGGUCUGCAACUGACGCUGAGGCUCGAAAGCAUGGGUAGCGAACAGGAUUAGAUACCCUGGUAGUCCAUGCCGUAAACGAUGAGUGCUAAGUGUUGGGAGGCUUCCGCCUCUCAGUGCUGCAGCUAACGCAUUAAGCACUCCGCCUGGGGGAGUACGACCGCAAGGUUGAAACUCAAAGUGAAUUGAC